This 494-nucleotide ribosomal RNA is filed under the name uncultured bacterium. Its description in RNAcentral is "partial 16S ribosomal RNA". It matches the Rfam family "Bacterial small subunit ribosomal RNA", at positions 28 to 507 of the family's 1533-position model. The record is from RNAcentral.
GACGAACGCUGGCGGCGUGCUUAACACAUGCAAGUCGAACGGUGAAGCGCCUUCCUUUUUGGUGGGUGUGGAUGAGUGGCGAACGGGUGAGUAACACGUGAGUAACCUGCCCCCUUCUUCUGGAUAACCGCAUGAAAGUGUGGCUAAUACGUGAUAUUCUGGGUCUGUCGCAUGAUGGGUCUGGGAAAGAUAUUGUUUCGGUGGGGGAUGGGCUCGCGGCCUAUCAGCUUGUUGGUGGGGUGAUGGCCUACCAAGGCGGUGACGGGUAGCCGGCCUGAGAGGGUGGACGGUCACACUGGGACUGAGACACGGCCCAGACUCCUACGGGAGGCAGCAGUGGGGAAUAUUGCACAAUGGGCGCAAGCCUGAUGCAGCGACGCCGCGUGAGGGAUGGAGGCCUGCGGGUUGUGAACCUCUUUCGCCAGUGAAGCAGGCCUGCCUCGUUUGUGGGUGGGUUGACGGUAGCUGGAUAAGAAGCGCCGGCUAACUACGUG